UGUGGGUAAAGGUGUCUUACAUGUUUAUGCAAUUUUAUUUCUGUCUACACUUGGUAAUUAAGUAUUUUUGAAAAUGACAUUUCAUCCUUCCUAGGCUGGAAAUUAUAUGCAGUCACCUUUAAUCAUUUUUGUGGCUGUGAGUUUAAAAGAUUAUGGAUAUACGGAGUUUUUGAAGAAAUCAAUUGAAGGCCUUUGGAGUUUUUUUUAACUGAACCAGUUGGUCUCAUGGAAAAAAGGUUCUGUUAUGUUGGUGUUAGAGAUCUUAGCAAAUAAGCUGACUGGCAUGAAAACUUGGAUUCAGUUACGAUUUGAUGCAAACUGUUGUUCGAAUGGUUCCACAAAGAAGUCUGCCAUUGACAGCCAUUUGUGACGGAGAUGGGACAGCUGAAGAUCAGGUUCUAACAGGUUCAGGGCGUCGCUAGCUAGGGAGCAUUGAUUGCCCACUCCUAAUUGCCCAGAAGGCGGUUCAAAGUCAAACACAUUGCAGUGGGUCUGGAGUCACAUGUAGGCCAGACAAGGACACACAUAUUAGAACUGCACCAUUUGAGACCAGCUACGGGAGGUGAACUGUACAGCUCACAGUCACACCGUUGUUGAAUGGAAAAACUAAACGUUCUGCAAGGCCAAUUCACUGAAUUGCAUCCUCUGAGUUCAAAGUAGAAAUUUCCUGUGGUGCCAAAUCUGUCUGGUUUCAACCAUGAGAUCCUGGACUGAUUCAAGACAACUAAUCUUGGUCUCUUCUGCUACAUUUGGUAUCUUGAUGAUCACUUGAAUGGUCACAAUAUUGAGAUUAGUGGACACUGUUAAUCCUGUUAUAGUUGUUUGAUUCAUGUCCAUCAGAUAAAAUAAUUGUGCUUUCCAUGCAGAAUUGUCAUAACUGCACUUCAAUGUCAAUACGCCAGUGUAAGGGAUGUGUACUCAGUUGUGUGCAGUUAAUUUUGCUGUUGUAGGUUGUAGGUUUGCCUUCCAGGUGUUCAGGUCAAUGUCAUUCAAAAUCUGAAUAGUAGGAUGUUUGUACUAGCUCCUGUGUUGACUUUUUUGGUCUUGGGCAUGCAUUUAUCAACAUUCUUUGCACAUUGAUGUUAAUUGCAGCAAAAGCUUACAACUAUUUGAUUUUGUCCAUGUGUCACAUUCAAACUUAGAACGUCUAUUCAUCUAACAACUGAAGUCUCUUCCAUUUUGAAUCUUCACCCUGGUCUCGCUGCUAACCUCAUGUACAUACCUACAUCAUGUGGAUCACUCACUGUUGAUGUUGCCGCCUGCAUUCUGCACAAGCUUUUUGUUGGGUUGUGUCUUGUUGCUGUCUUUGGUUGUAUCUUUGUAACCAGAUUUCUUGCCUGGUUCAUCCCAGUUUCCUUUUUCCAUACAAAACUAGCAAAGGUCUUGGGGCUCUGUACAGCUUUGUGGUGAUUCAAUAAAUCUCACUUCCCAUACAACCUGCUUGCAAUCUGUUUCCAGGUUGCAAAUGUCUGUACUGUUAACUCAACCUAAUGUUUAUACACUGUUUUUCCAAUCUCACAAUAGCUUCAUAUUUUCUGCCAUCUUUAACAGAUGUGUUAACAUUGUGAUCUUUGUUUUCCUCCAAAGGUCUUAUUGUAAAGUUUUGUUAGAUGUUGGGAUUAUUGCCAGCUUCAUUAUCUGCUCAGGCUGCUCAGCCUCUGAAAAAUCAGUCUUCACCCUUGUGGCACUUUCUGACAAACUGAUCAAUUGAUUCGUGCAGCUGUUGCCUGUCAGACAUCAGUUGUGGAUUGUGAAUUCUGAAGUUUACUUUUACAAAAAGCUAAUUUAUAGCAUUUCCUUUAGCUUAGGAAGAUCUCUCUGAUUCUUUUAAGACAGCUCUGAGGUGUUGAUUCUGUGAAACAUUACUUUUCCAAUGAUUUUCUUUAUUUUGCUUGCUUACCAUGUUCUGUCAUGGACAUAUCUGUAAAGCAUAGCUCUAUCCUUUUUUUAAAGAGCUUAAAUUUAGAUAGGAUGCCUGUGGCCUUCCAAUUCAUAUGGUUAUCUUCCUAGUAUUUCCUAUAUUUUGCAAAUGAUAUCAAUGUCUAAAGGAUUUGUAGUAGCCUUGCAAUGAUAAUGUCAUUCUGUGGAGAUUCAGCAAUGCAACUGCUGUGUUCCUUCUUUUCCCUCAAUUCUACCCUGUGCUGAUUUCAACUACAGUUUAAACUUAUCUUUGUUGUUUUUGUCUGAUAUGGUAAAGCAUCUGUGGUUGUCUUGAUGGUCAUGCCGAGAAAAAUUUGGAACUUAAUUCCUGUCUGAACAGGCUCAGAAGUCAAAUACUUACUGUUCACAUAAUGAUCCAUUUUCUGAGGCCCCAUUAUAAAUGUAACUGGUUGUCUGAAGCCUUUUGCUUUCCUUUUCAAGAUUUGUAUUGCUACCUCAUUUUUAAAAAUGUCCCCAGCACAAAUCACCAUGUUGCAUUUCUUGUAUAUUUUUGGUAAAUAAUCCAUAUUAAUAGUUUAGAUUCAGUAAUUACAUGCAGGUUUAUUCAACAGCUCAGACUACAACUUACAUCUGCAAAUAACUAGGUGUGUGUUCUCCUUCUAGUGUGUUUCCGCUAGAUUGUCCAUGAGAGUUGUUUGCAUGAUGUCAAAUGAACAAGUGAACAAAUUUACAAGUACAGCACAGGAACAGGCCCUUCGGCCCUCCAAGCCAGUGCUGACCAUCAUGCCCUAAUUAAUCUAAAAGCAGACUGCCAUUUUUUGAUCCAUUUCCCUCUCUUCCCUCCCUAUUCAUGUGCCCAUCUAAGUGCCUCUGAAAUGUUUUCAAUGUGCCCUCUUCCACCUCCUCUUCUGGCAGUGCAUUCCAGGUUGCUACCACUCUGAGUGAAAAACUUUCUUCACACAUCUCCCCUAAACUUUCUCCCUCUGACCUUGAACCUGUGCACCCUUGUAAUUGAAGCUUCAGCCCUGGGGAAAAUGCCUCUGCCUAUCCACCCUAUCUAUGCCUCUCAUGAUUUUGUUGGCCCCCAUCAGGUCUCCUCUCAGCUGCCAUCUUUCCAGCGAAAACAAUCCUCGUCUUUUUAACCUUUCUUCAUAGCCAAUGCUUUGGAGACCAGGCAACAUCCUGGUGAGCCUUCUCUGCACCCUCUCCAAAACUUCCACAUCCUUCUGAGAGUGUGGUGACCAAAAUUGCAUACAAUGCUCCAAACGCAGCCUAACAAUGGUUUUAUAUAGCUGCAACACGUUUUGCCAACUCUUGUACUCCACACCCUGGGCAAGGAAGAAAAGCAUGCUACUUAAUCACCUUGGCUACCUGUGAUACCAUUUCCAAGGACCUCGAUCCUUCUGAAUGUUAAAUGUUCCUACAGUACAAUUCACACCUAAAUUUGCUCCUCCAAAAUGCAUCACCUUGCAUUUGUCAGCCGUUUCUGUGCUCAAGUCGCCAAUGCAUCCAUACCCUGUUGUGUACUUUUACGAUCGUUGCCAGUAUCAGCAAUUCCACCAAUCUUUGUGUCAUCAGCAAAUUUGCUUAUCAGAUCACACAUGUUUUCCUCCGGACAAUUUAUACAUAUUACAAACAGCAAAGGACCUAAGACUGACCCCUGUGGAACACCACCAGUUACCAGUCUCCAUUCUGAAAAACAUCCUUCCACCACUACCCUCCGUCUUCUAUCACCAAGCCAGUUUUCCAUCCAUCUAGCCAGGCCACCCCAAAUUCCUUGUGACUUCAGUUUUUGCGCCAACUUGCUAUGUGGGAAUUUAUCAAAUACCUUACUAAAGUCCAUACAAACUACAUCCACAGCCCUUACCUCAUCAAUUAUCCUCACUAGCUCUUCAUAAUGUUGAUAGUAUCGAGGGCUAUUGCCGGCUUCAGCAAGACAUUGACAGAAUGCAGAGCUGGGCUGAGAAAUGGCAGAUGGAGUUCAACCUGGAUAAGUGCGAAGUGAUGCAUUUUGGAAGGUCGAACUUAAAUGCUGAAUAUAGGAUUAAAGGCAGGAUUCUCGGCAGUGUGGAGGAACAACGGGAUCUUGGUGUUCAAGUGUAUAGCUCCCUCAAAGUUGCCACCCAAGUGGAUAAGGUUGUUAAGAAAGCAUAUGGUGUUUUGGCUUUCAUUAACGGGGGAUUGAGUUUAAGAGCCGCGAGGUUAUGCUGCAGCUCUACAAAACCCUGGUGAGACCACACUUGGAAUAUUGUGUCCAGUUCUGGUCGCCCCAUUAUAGGAAAGAUGUGGAGGCUUUGGAGAGGGUGCAAAGGAGGUUUACCAGGAUGCUGCCUGGACUGGAGGGCUUGUCUUAUGAGGAGCGGUUGAAUGAGCUCGAACUUUUCUCUCUGGAGAGAAGGAGGAAGAGAGGUGACCUGAUCGAGGUGUACAAGGUAAUGAGAGGCAUGGAUAGAGUCGAUAGCCAGAGACUUUUCCCCAGGGCAGGAUUGACUGCCACGAGGGGUCAUAGUUUUAAGGUGUUAGGCGGAAGGUAUAGAGGAGACGUCAGAGGGAGGUUCUUCACCCAGAGAGUUGAGAGCUCAUGGAAUACUUUGCCAGUGUUAGUUGUGGAAGUGGAGUCAUUAGUGACAUUUAAGCAACUGCUGGACAUGCACAUGGACAGCAGUGAAUUGAGGGGAAUGUAGGUUAGGUUAUUUUAUUUUUGGAUUAGGAUUAUUCCACGGCAUAACAUCGUGGUCCGACGGGCCUGUACUAUGCUGUACUUUUCUAUGUUCUAUAAAAUUUAAUCGGGUUGGUGAGACACGGUCUUCCCUGGACAAAACCAUGCUGCCUGUCAGUAAAUAGCCCAUCUUCCCCCAAAUGCACAUAUAUCUUGACCCUCAGUAUCUUCUCCAAGAGCUUCCCCACCACAGAUGUCAAGCUCACUAGCCUAUAGUUUCCUGGAUUAUCCCUGCAUCCUUUCUCAAACAUUGAAGGGGAACAACAUUGGCUAACCUCCAGUCCUCUGUAACUUCACUUGUGGUCAAUGAAGACGUGGAGGUAUCUGCCAGUGCUCCAGCUAUUUCCUCCCUUGCCUCAUCCUUGGCUCAUUAGUAUGUCUAUCAGUUAAAGCUACACGACUCUUAAAGCAAUAGCAUAAAUUUGUAAAUUGAACACACUUUUAGACAAUGAGUUUCUGAGAACUUUCAUCCUAUGUAUGUAAAACAUACUACCAAGCACCCUUCUGACUCCUCUUCUAUUGAUUUCACAUCCUCCAGAUAUGGAGCAAACCAAGAAGCUUCUUUGUGAGGUUAGAGGUGGCGGGGGGUUGGUGGAGAGGUGUGGGAGGAGGAACAGGAAGAGAAAGCAGCAACCCAGACAUUCAGUCCAAUGUCUCCUGACUGUCCCUCCCUUGCACCUCUCCUCCCACACACACACAAACUCUCUCUCUCUCUCACACACACACACACACAGGACCCAGACCUAAAACCCACACAGAGACUAAGCUGCAGUUUCAAGACAGGCAUAAAACACUUUUAUCCAGAUAAGGGAACAGAACAAAACCAGCCCAGCUUGUCCCCUACCCCCACGACAUCCCAAAACCAGCCCAGCUCGUCCCCGCCUCCCUAACAUAAACAAGCAUAUGGAUGUACAUGGAAUAGUGUAGGUUAGAUGGGCUUCAGAUUGGUAUGACAGGUCAGCACAACAUCGAAGGCCGAAGGGCCUGUACUGUGCUGUGAUGUUCUAUGCUCUAUGUACUAUGUACCUAACCUGUUCUUCCUCUCACCUAUCCCCUCCUCCCAUCUCAAGUCACACCUCCAUUUCCCACCUACUAACCUUAUCCCGCCUCCUUGACCUGUCCGUCCCUCCUGGACUGACCUCUCCCCUCCCUACCUAUACUCUCCUCUCCACCUAUCUUCUCCUCUAUCCAUCUUCGGUCCACCUUCCCCUCUCUCCCUAUUUAUUUCAGAACCCUCUCCCAAUCCCCCUCUCUGAUGAAGGGUCUAGGCCCAAAACAUCAGCUUUUGUGCUCCUAAGGUGCUGCUUGGCCUGCUGUGUUCAUCCAGCUUCACACUUUGUUAUCUCGGAUUCUCCAGCAUCUGCAGUUCCCAUUAUCAUUGGUAGAAUGCAGAGCUGGGUUGAGAAGUGGCAGAUGGAGUUUAAACCUGAAAAGUGUGAGGUGAUUCAUUUUGGAAGGAUAAACUUGAAAGCAGAAUACAGGGUUAAUGGAAAGAUUCUUGGUGGUGUAGAGGGCAGAGGGAUCUUGGGGUUCAUGUCCAAAGUUUCCUGAAAGCUGCCACCCAGGAAGAAGGCGUAUUGUGCGUUAGCUUUCGUUAAUAGAGGGAUUGAGUUCAAGAGCCGUGAAGUUAUGCUCCAGCUAUACAAAAGCCUGGUUCGGCCACAUCCGGAGUAUUGUGUCCAGUUCUGGUCGCCUCAUUGCAGGAAAGAUGUGGAAGCAUUAGAAAAGGUGCAAAGGCGAUUUACCAGGAUGUUGGCUGGAACAGAGGGAAGGCCAUACGAGGAAAGGUUGCGAGAGCUAAGGCUUUUCUCUUUAGUAUGACAAAGGAUGAGAGGUGACUUGAUAGAGGUGGACAAAAUGAUCAGAGGUAUCGAUAGAGUGGACAACCAGAGACUGUUUAGGGUGGAGGAAGCUAUUACGAGAGGACAUAGUUUUAAAGUGAGUGGAGGUAGAUAUAGGGGAGACGUCAUAAGUAGGUUCUUUACUCAGAGUGGUAGAGGCAUGGAAUGCAUUGCUAGAGAGGGCAGUGAAAUAGACCUCAUUAGGGGCAUUUAAGCAGCUAUUAGAUAGGCAUAUGGAGGACAGUAUAAGGUAGGGGUGGGGGUUAGAUAGACCUUAGGUCUAAGGUAAAAGUUCGGCACAACAUUGUGGGCUGAAAGGCCUGUACUGUGCAGUUCUAUGUUCUAUGUUAAUAUCUAUAUCCACUGAUAUUUCCAACUUCCUCUACUGGAGAAAGUUAGUCCUUCCUUUCAGACCCCUCAUAAUUUUAUACAUUUUAAUUAAUUCAUCCCCUCAUUCUCUUCUGUUAAAAGGAAGCUUUUUUUUUAAUUUAAGCUUAAUUUUUUAAAAAAUGUAAAAAAUUGCCAACCCUGAUAACAUUCUUCAAACCUCCUUUGUGUUCUCUCCAAGGCAAUUGCAUCUUUCCUGGUUCAAGGAUUCUCUGUUUCUCUAGAGCAUAAAGACUCACUGUUUGACCUAAUGUAUCUGUGCUGCUUUUUUGCAAUCCUCCUCCAACUCUAAAUACUUCUUCCCAACCAACUUUUAUUGCAUUCCAUUCUCAUGCACUUUAUGUACUUGACAACCUUUGCUUCAAAGGCAUUAAUUCUAUUUGCUUAAGUACUCCAUGUGUCAGCAGGCUCUGCAUUUUCAACAUGGCCUGUAGAUGAAAAUUCCUUCCAAGUUCUCUGUUUGAUCUGAUGCUAGGUCUUAUCAUUAUUCUCCCGUGUUUUGAUCGCACCAUCAAAUAGAAAUCACUUAUCAACCAUCUUAGGAAUAUCAUCAUAAGUUUAAAGCACCCCCUUUGUCUGUCCAACUGUCUUUCUCUCUUGUUGGGCUCCAUCCUAUCGUUUAAUCCCUACCCCACCAACCUCCCUAUUUUCUGCAUAUAAACUGAUGUUUUCCCAGCCACCAUCAGUUCUGAAGAAGGGUGAGUGGACCCGAAAUGUCAACUGUUUUCUCCUCCACAGAUGCUGCCAGACCUGCUGAGCUUUUCCAGCAACUUUAUUUUUGUUCCCAAUUUACAGCAUCCACAGAUCUUUUGGUUUUUAUAAUUUUAAAGGCCUUUGUCAGUUCGCCUCUCAAUCGUCUCUUCCACAAAGAGCCCCAGCCUGCUUAGUCUUUCCUGUUUGUAGCAUCCCUUCAAUUCUUAACAUUCUGGUAAUUUUUUUCUGUGCUUUCUGUAGUGUUUCAACAUUAUGUUUGCAGAAUGAAAACUAGAACGGCAUGCUGGGUUUCAAGCAUGAGGCUAACAAAUAUCUAACAGUGUCGCUAUGUUUUUAUGUUUUAAUCAUCCAUUAAUAAACUCAAGCUGCUAUUUUAUAGUAUUA
Long non-coding RNA from Stegostoma tigrinum, 7926 nucleotides. RefSeq lists it as uncharacterized. The record is from RefSeq and is a predicted model, not a curated record. The transcript has 3 exons. Lineage: Eukaryota; Metazoa; Chordata; Chondrichthyes; Orectolobiformes; Stegostomatidae.